Molecule: unclassified non-coding RNA, 664 nt
Filed under: Hevea brasiliensis (rubber tree)
Lineage: Eukaryota; Viridiplantae; Streptophyta; Magnoliopsida; Malpighiales; Euphorbiaceae
Source: RNAcentral
CACUGCGCAGGUACAUCCUGUUUGAAGCCUGUAUAAACCUAUCACAUCGACUCUCUGGUACACAGCACAGAGGUAGAAUAGAGAAAGCUAAGAAAAGCCUAAAAAUGGAAGAUAUGAAGAAGAGGAAGAUGGAGGAGGCAAGCAACGGCGCUCAAAUCUCAACAACCCAAGAGCACCUCCGUUCUCUUCUCGACCCUCUCAGCAAAUCCCAGCUCGUCGAUCUUCUCUCUAGACUAGGGUCCCAAUAUCCUUCCAUUGCAGAAGAAAUUAAAAGUGUAGCCAGUGCAGAUCCAGUACAUCGAAAGCUUUUUGUUCGUGGCUUGGCCUGGAAUACCACUUCAGAAACCUUGUGUGCUGCCUUUCGAGUGCAUGGUGAAAUAGAAGAAGGGGCUGUCAUUUAUGACAAAGCAACAGGAAAAUCUCGCGGCUAUGGUUUCAUUACUUACAAACAUAUGGAAUCAACACAAAGUGCACUGGCAGCACCUAGCAAAUUGAUUGAUGGUCGGAUGUCUGUCUGUAAUUUAGCAUGUGAAGGAUUAAGCGGGGCAAGUACUACACCAGAUUCAGCCCAGAGAAAACUCUAUAUUGGGGGUUUGUCACCAGAGAUCUCAAGUGAGAUGCUGCUCAACUUUUUUGGAAGGCAUGGUGAGAUUGAAGAAGGUUC